Molecule: ribosomal RNA, 455 nt
Filed under: uncultured Prevotella sp.
Lineage: Bacteria; Pseudomonadati; Bacteroidota; Bacteroidia; Bacteroidales; Prevotellaceae
Description: partial 16S ribosomal RNA
Rfam family: Bacterial small subunit ribosomal RNA
Source: RNAcentral
ACGGGAGGCAGCAGUGAGGAAUAUUGGUCAAUGGGCGGAAGCCUGAACCAGCCAAGUAGCGUGAAGGAUGACGGCCCUACGGGUUGUAAACUUCUUUUGCCGGGGGAUAAAAAACGGGACGCGUCCCGUCUUGCAGGUACCCGUGCGAAUAAGGACCGGCUAAUUCCGUGCCAGCAGCCGCGGUAAUACGGAAGGUCCGAGCGUUAUCCGGAUUUAUUGGGUUUAAAGGGAGCGUAGGCGGAAGGUCAAGUCAGCUGUGAAAUGUAGUCGCUCAACGUCUGCACUGCAGUUGAAACUGGCCUCCUUGAGUGCGUAAGAGGCAGGUGGAAUUCGUCGUGUAGCGGUGAAAUGCUUAGAUAUGACGAAGAACUCCGAUUGCGAAGGCAGCUUGCUGGGCCGCAACUGACGCUGAAGCUCGAAGGUGCGGGUAUCAAACAGGAUUAGAUACCCUGGUA